AGAUAGAAAAUAGGUGCCCGUACCGCAAACCGACACAGGUAGUCAAGAUGAGAAUUCUAAGGUGAGCGAGCGAACUCUCGUUAAGGAACUCGGCAAAAUGACCCCGUAACUUCGGGAGAAGGGGUGCUCUUUAGGGUUAACGCCCAGAAGAGCCGCAGUGAAUAGGCCCAAGCGACUGUUUAUCAAAAACACAGGUCUCUGCUAAACCGUAAGGUGAUGUAUAGGGGCUGACGCCUGCCCGGUGCGGGAAGGUUAAGAGGAGUGGUUAGCUUCUGCGAAGCUACGAAUCGAAGCCCCAGUAAACGGCGGCCGUAACUAUAACGGUCCUAAGGUAGCGAAAUUCCU
This 345-nucleotide ribosomal RNA is filed under the name Staphylococcus aureus. RNAcentral describes it as "partial 23S ribosomal RNA". It matches the Rfam family "Bacterial large subunit ribosomal RNA", at positions 1625 to 1969 of the family's 2925-position model. Lineage: Bacteria; Bacillati; Bacillota; Bacilli; Caryophanales; Staphylococcaceae. The record is from RNAcentral.